AGGGGGUAGGCCAGAUCCUGGGCUGUGUCCCGGCGCCCUGUGCUCCGGGGCCUGCGCUGUUGGAUUCGCGUUCCCCCCCCACCCCCCA
Non-coding RNA from Canis lupus familiaris (dog), 88 nucleotides. NCBI's taxonomy places the organism in Eukaryota, Metazoa, Chordata, Mammalia, Carnivora, Canidae. The record is from Rfam.